This 81-nucleotide transfer RNA is filed under the name freshwater metagenome. RNAcentral's name for it is "tRNA-Gly". The record is from RNAcentral.
CUGCGCGGUAGGAGACCUUCGCGAGCACCGUGACCUUGCCGCGGGCACCGACCCGCUCGAGCGUCAGCGAGCCCGUGCAGG